GGUUCAUGUGUUUCCUAUUAACCUGGGAUCUGAGCAACGCCCAUCACUUCAUCUAACACCUUGUGAGUGGUGGCCAGGGAUCUGAUGUUUUGUGAAACAAUGCUCCUCACAGCUGAUGAACCAGAAGGGAAAAUCUGACCAAAAUUUGGAAAGAAUCAUUGUCUGGGAGUACUUCUUCAUCUUGAUGAAGAAAAGGCAUAGCUCAUCGCUCAUUUAAAAGCUGCUGGGACUCUUGGGAUCCCUCAUGGAAGAGCUAAAUCGGCUAUUUAG
RNAcentral lists this long non-coding RNA (270 nucleotides) under Anas platyrhynchos platyrhynchos (common mallard). Its description in RNAcentral is "lncRNA (ENSAPLG00000022365.1)". The record is from RNAcentral. Lineage: Eukaryota; Metazoa; Chordata; Aves; Anseriformes; Anatidae.